Molecule: unclassified non-coding RNA, 306 nt
Filed under: plant metagenome
Description: partial contains 5.8S ribosomal RNA, internal transcribed spacer 2, and large subunit ribosomal RNA
Rfam family: 5.8S ribosomal RNA (bases 1-105)
Source: RNAcentral
GAAAUGCGAUAAGUAAUGUGAAUUGCAGAAUUCAGUGAAUCAUCGAAUCUUUGAACGCACAUUGCGCCCGCCAGUAUUCUGGCGGGCAUGCCUGUCCGAGCGUCAUUUCAACCAUCAAGCCCCCGGGCUUGUGUUGGGGACCUGCGGCUGCCCGCAGGCCCUGAAAACCAGUGGCGGGCUCGCUGUCACACCGCGCGUAGUAGCAAUCACCUCGCUCAGGGCGUGCUGCGGGUUCCGGCCGUUAAACAGCCUUACAAAACCCAAGGUUGACCUCGGAUCAGGUAGGAAGACCCGCUGAACUUAAGC